This 376-nucleotide ribosomal RNA is filed under the name uncultured bacterium. Its description in RNAcentral is "bacterial SSU rRNA". It matches the Rfam family "Bacterial small subunit ribosomal RNA", at positions 524 to 898 of the family's 1533-position model. The record is from RNAcentral.
UACGUAGGGGGCGAGCGUUGUCCGGAAUGACUGGGCGUAAAGGGCGCGUAGGCGGCCGAUCAAGUCUGGAGUGAAAGUCCUGCUUUCAAGGUGGGAAUUGCUUUGGAAACUGGUUGGCUUGAGUGCGGAAGAGGUAAGUGGAAUUCCCAGUGUAGCGGUGAAAUGCGUAGAGAUUGGGAGGAACACCAGUGGCGAAGGCGACUUACUGGGCCGUAACUGACGCUGAGGCGCGAAAGCGUGGGGAGCGAACAGGAUUAGAUACCCUGGUAGUCCACGCGGUAAACGAUGAAUGCUAGGUGUAGGGGGUAUCGACCCCUCCUGUGCCGCAGUUAACACAAUAAGCAUUCCGCCUGGGGAGUACGGCCGCAAGGUUGAA